GUAACGGCUCACCAAGGCGACGAUCCCUAGCUGGUCUGAGAGGAUGACCAGCCACACUGGAACUGAGACACGGUCCAGACUCCUACGGGAGGCAGCAGUGGGGAAUAUUGCACAAUGGGCGCAAGCCUGAUGCAGCCAUGCCGCGUGUAUGAAGAAGGCCUUCGGGUUGUAAAGUACUUUCAGCGGGGAGGAAGGGAGUAAAGUUAAUACCUUUGCUCAUUGACGUUACCCGCAGAAGAAGCACCGGCUAACUCCGUGCCAGCAGCCGCGGUAAUACGGAGGGUGCAAGCGUUAAUCGGAAUUACUGGGCGUAAAGCGCACGCAGGCGGUUUGUUAAGUCAGAUGUGAAAUCCCCGGGCUCAACCUGGGAACUGCAUCUGAUACUGGCAAGCUUGAGUCUCGUAGAGGGGGGUAGAAUUCCAGGUGUAGCGGUGAAAUGCGUAGAGAUCUGGAGGAAUACCGGUGGCGAAGGCGGCCCCCUGGACGAAGACUGACGCU
RNAcentral lists this ribosomal RNA (498 nucleotides) under Escherichia coli. Its description in RNAcentral is "bacterial SSU rRNA". It matches the Rfam family "Bacterial small subunit ribosomal RNA", at positions 257 to 747 of the family's 1533-position model. Lineage: Bacteria; Pseudomonadati; Pseudomonadota; Gammaproteobacteria; Enterobacterales; Enterobacteriaceae. The record is from RNAcentral.